Molecule: antisense RNA, 75 nt
Filed under: Sorangium cellulosum
Lineage: Bacteria; Pseudomonadati; Myxococcota; Polyangiales; Polyangiaceae
Description: ASpks TB sRNA
Rfam family: ASpks TB sRNA
Source: RNAcentral
CUUGAGGCUGCCGAGCCACAGCGGCCGCUCCGGCCCAUGCCCCUUGCCGUAGGUGGCGAGGAGCGCGCGCGCCUC